UGCACAACAUUUAUAUAAUAAAAGAAAAUGCAGAAUUAUAAUCUAAUACAGAAACAUUGUCAUACUAUGGAUUCAGUUUACCAAUAAGGAAUGAAAUCCGAAAUCAACUAAACAACAUCUGGAACAGUCUACAAAAUCUCUACUACAUGAUCUAAAGACAACUGUCUGAAAAGAUGGGACAAGGCCCCCAGUAGACCAAAAUAAAGAAACAACAUAAUCUAAAAUAACAGGCCUUCUGAAACAAAGAAGGCUCACCACUGCACAGAUCACUUCUCUCUGGAUACUUUACUGAUUAGCCGGGCCCCUAGACUAAGCUUCUGAACCUGAAAGGUAGGGAAGAGGGGUCAAUACAGAUGUACUGGUACGCAGAGCAAAUCCAAAAUAAUAAUUUAUAUUUAACAUAUAUGAGAGCAAUUUAAAAUAGUUCAUAAACAUAUCAUAUGGUAAGGAAUCACAUAGACAUUUUUAAAAGACUCUAGGAAAACAUCUAAACUCUGUGACACUCUUUGUAUUACUUCUGUGCUAGGUAGUGUACCCUACAAUCUGUAAUCCCAUGGGCUAUAUGGGAUCUGCUAUUAACUCGGAAGCCAAGCCCCCAACCCAACGCAAGGGACGGAGUCUCUGAAUCUACUAUGCCACACGGCCGUCGCCAACAUACAAUAAUAAUCUACCCGUAUCGGUAAAUACAGUUUUAGGCUAAGAGUUAAGUGAACUCAUGCCUUCUUCGGGUAACCACCUAACUCUCUUUAUGCCCAUUUUUAGUUCUUUUAACAUGCAUUCUCUGAAAACAUACUCUGGAGUCUUUAACUCUGUCAUGGCAUACAUAUAUAUGGUAUCAUCAUACCAUUGACUUGCAAGUCACAUUCUCUGAGCCAUUUAUAGCAAAUUAUAUCUUAAUUUUCAAAUUAUGAAAUUCAGGACCACCAUAUCAAUAAUUCUUUCAAGAAACUCAUGCUUUAAAAUUCAUGUAAAACUAUGCAAGCAAUUCUCUUUAUCAACAAUUCAACAAACAAUGGUGGUCAUGUCCAAAGUCUAUACCUCAUCCAAUUCUUCUCUUUAACACAAAAUAUAGUUAUAUCAAGACACCCUCUCAAUAAUUCUAAAUCAAUAUUUAAAUACUAUGACAUUGAGAAAACAUCUUUCAAAUCACAAAACAUGCAUUUCAACUCUUUUCCGACAAAAUCAAAAUCUUUAAUUUAUCACACGAGAGGGAGUCCAUAAUUUAUGCUCUAAAACAAUCUUCAAUCUCAAAUUUCAUAUAUAUACGUAUACAAGUAAAUCAAUUUAGGGGGAAAGGCCUAAGGACCAAAUCAAUAAUACAUUUAAACAUUCAUAAUGCAAAAUAAAAUCAUGUAUUUCAAAAAACCCCUUUCUAAAAUAAUGCUUGAAAAUUUUUACAUCAUGUUCUAGUGUUUCCAAGCCCAUGUAGUUAUUUUUUAGGAUAAAUUCCACGUACCUCAAAUUAAUUAAUUUAAAGAGAAGAACUUGAAUCUCGAUUCAUUCCUAGGAAAUCUUGAACUUAAGGCUUGAUUUGCUUGAAUUUCUUGUUCUUGGAGAAAAUCCUAGUUGGAUAUUAUUUUGAGAGUGAAGAGGAAGUUUUUGAUGUUGUAAAACUGAUAGUGAUUGAUUAAUAACACUUAAGGGGUGAUUUAAUUCGUGUGAAAGGUUUUUGGAGUGAGGAAAAGACCAAAAUACCCCUAAGGAACCGAAAAAAAUUGCAUAAUUACAUAAGUUGAUGACCAGGGUUGACGGGCCGUCACUCAGGUGAUAAGUCGUCACCCAGGUCAUCACUUUUAGGAUGGUUUUUACCAUUCAUUGCCUUAGGCUAAUGAACAGGUCGGACGGGCCAUCACACAGCUGAUAAGUCACCAGCCUCGUCAUCACAUUUUGGCAGACAGACACUUCAAAGUAAAAUAAGCAUAACUUUCUACUCAGAUAUCGGAUUAAAGCGAUACUAGUGGCAUUGAACAGAGAACUCAAAGAACUUUCAUUUGAUAGAUAUUAGGCCUCCUAGUUCGUUAUAUACAAAGAGUUACUGUUGAUUGAAGUUGACCCAAGUUUCGACGCUCACUCAAACUCGAAAAAUAGGAAAGCUUUCAACUCGUCCUUGAGUUUGGGGACAUCUAUGAUCUUAAUUCAUGCUCAAAUAGGUUCCCACACUAUAUAAUUUAUUAACAUACAAAAUUUACAUAGGAUUUAUGGCUUUUGGAUCAUUUAUGCAUAGAAACGACAGUUUUCGUUCUAGCACGAAAUGCAGGGUGUUACAACACCGAAGGUAAAUUUAAUUUCUUCCAAUAAUACUACCCCUGAAACUAACAAAUAUACUACUUCGAAGUCUAAGAAGAAGAAAAAUUCAAGAAAAAUAAUGGUAGACAUCCCAAGGACAAUAAUAAUGAAAAAAACCAAGCAAUAAAUCAACAUGUACAAGAAAAAGAAUAGUGCUUUGUCUGUGGCAAGAGUAGGCAUAGUGCUCGAUUUUACAAAUUUUGAAAAAAUGGUCCUAAACCUCAGGUAAAAAUUAUCAAAGAAACAUUUGUGGAGUAAUAAUAGACAUUAACAUGGUGGAGAAUGUUGAUGGAUGGUGGGCUGACUCUGGUGCAAACCGUCAUGUCUGUUAUGACAAAGACUGGUUUAAAAAAUAUGCUAAUUUUGAGGAGCCUAAAACUAUCAUGCUUAGAGAUUCACACACAACUCAAGUACUGGAAAUGUGAGAUAUAAAGUUGAGAUUUACUUUUGAAAGAGUAUUAAUUUUAAAAGAUGUACUUUAUACUCAUUGCAUGAGAAAAAAUUUGAUGUCUAGUUUUCUUCUUAAUAAAGCAGGCUUCAAAUAGAUUAUUGAAUCUGAUCAGUAUGUAAUUAUGAAAAAUAAUGUUUUUAUGGGAAAGGGGUAUGCAUGUGAUGGUAUGUUCAAGUUGAAUGUUGAAAUGAAUAACACAUCUACUUCUGCUUAUAUGCUUUGUUCUUCUAAUUUUUGGCAUACUCAUUGUGUCAUAUAAAUGAUCAUAAUGUGAGAAUUAGGAGUAGUUUAGGAUUAAUUCUAGUGAUCAACAAGAACUUUAAAAAAUGUGAGGCUUAUCGUAAAGAUAAAAUCACAAAAAGACCUCAUUUUCAAGUUGAAAGAAAAAUUGAUUUAUUAGAAUUAGUUCAUACUAAUAUUUUUGAACUUGGAGGAAUUUUUCUCGUGGAGGAAAUAGAUAUUUUAUCACUUUCAUUGAUGAUUUUUCUAAUUUUACAUAUGUUUACUUAAUGAAAAAUAAAACUAAUGCUUUUAAGAACUUUAAAAUUUUUCUCCAUGAAGUUCAAAAUCAGUUUAAUAGAAAAAUAAACAGAAUUAAAAGUGAUAGAGACCAUGAAUAUGAGUCACAUUAAUUCUGUUCUUUUGUUAGAUCAUUGGGUAUAAUUCAUAAAAACUAUUCCUCCUUAUUCUCCUGCAUCUACUGGUGUAGCAGAAAGAAAGAAUAAAACUUUGAUUGAGUUAACUAAUGCCAUGUUAAUUUAGUCUUGUGCACCUUUAAAUUUUUAGGGUGAAGCUCUUUUGAUUGCUUGCUAUGUGUUGACUCGUGUGCCUCACAAAAAGACCAAACUAACACCUUUUGAUUUGUCAAAAUGUCAUAAGCCAAAUUUGAGAUAUCUAAGAAUUUGAGAUUUCUUAGCCUAUGUAAGGUUAAUGGAUCCUAAAAUCUCUAAGUUUGGUAAAAAAGUUACUACUUGUGCUUUUAUUGGUUAUGCUUCACAUAGUACAACCUAUAGAUUUUUUUAAUCUAGAAGAUAGUAUUAUAAUAGAAUCUAGUGAUGCUAUUUUUUAUGAAAAUAAAUUCUCUUUUGAUUCUAAAAAUGGUGAGGGCCAAAGGACUAAAGAAAAUAUUUUUUCACUACCUUGUUCUUCUCCUUCUACUUUAAAAAAUACAGAAAAUGAUGAUUUUGAGUUAACAAGAAGUAAACGAGCUAGGGUAGAAGAAGAUUUUGAUCGUGAUUAUUAUGUUUUAAACAUUGGAGAUUACCCUAUCACGUUAAAAGAAGCUUUGUCUUCACAUGAUAUUAUUAUCUGAAAAAAGACUGUAAAUGAUGAAAUGAAAUCACUAAUUUUGAAUAAAAUUUAGAAGGUAGUUGAUUUGCCACCGGAUUGUAAAUUAAUUGGAUGUAAAUGGGUCAUGCAUAAAAAGUUAAAAUUAGAUGGAUCUGUUGAUAAACAUAAAGUUAGACUAGUGAUUAAAGGUCUUAAACAACUAGAAGGCUUAGAAUUUUUUGUUACUUUUUCUCUGGUAACUAGAAUUACAUCCAUUAGACUUUUCGUUGCUAUUGUAGCAAUUUUUGAUUUACAAAUUCAUCAAAUAGAUGUAAAAACUGCUUUUUUAAAUAGAGACCUAAAUGAAGAGAUUUACAUGAAAAACCGAGUGUUUUGUUGAGGUCGGCUAAGAAAGCAAAGUGUGUAAACUUAAUAAAUUCCUACAUGACUUGAAAUAGGCACCAAAACAAUGGCAUGAAAAGUUUGAUUCUAGCAUGAUUGAUAAUGUCUUUAAAACAAAUGAGUGUGAUAAGUGCAUAUACGAUAAGUCUUAGAAUAAUUCGCAUGUUAUUAUUUGCCUACAUAUUGAUGAUUUAUUGAUCUUUGGCUAUAACAUGAAUGUUAUUGGUGAAACUAAAAAUAUUUUUAGAAGUCAUUUUGAUAUGAAAGAUCUUGAAUAGGCAAAUUUUAUUCUAGGAACAAAAAUUACUAGAACAUAUGAUGGAAUUUUCCUUGACCAGUCACAUUAUUUUGAGAAAAUUUUGAAAAAAUAUAAUUUCCUUGAUUGCAAGCAUGUUGUAACUCUAUUUGAUUCUAGAGUUCACUUGUUUCCCAUUGAAAGUGAAAAUAAUGUUUAAAUCAAAAGGAUUAUUCUAGCAUAAUUGAAAGUUUGAGAUAUGUGACUGAUUGCACUAGACCUGGUAUUACAUAUGCAGUAGAGGGUUUACUAGCAAGCCAAGUAUUGAACAUUGACAUCUUAUAAUGAGAGUAAUGUAAUAUUUAAUUAAAAUGAAAAAUUAUGGUUUGUUCUAUUUAAAAUAUCUUAUUGUACUUGAAGGCUUUUGUGUUGCGGAUUGGAUUACUUUGUCAGGUGAUUCCUUAUCCACUACUAGUUAUGUUUUUACUUUGGGCGAUGGUGCUAUUUGCUGGAAAUCUAAAAAAAAAAAAUUAUUGCUAACUCUAUCAUGAAGGCUGAACUAAUUGCUUUAGCUUCAGCUAGUGAGGAAGCGAAUUGAUUGAGAGAUUUGUUAUUUCAAAUACCUUAUUUUGAAAAACCAAUUCCUCCGAUAUUAAUUUAUUGUGAUAAUAUCACUACAAUUUGUAGAGUUUAAAAUCGUUAUUAUAACAGGAAAUACAGACCUAUAAGGAGAAAACACAAUAAUGUGAGAUCAUAUUUGACAAAUGGUACUAUUAAUGUUGAUUAUGUCAAAUCUUGUGAUAAUCUUACAGAUCCAUUGACUAAGGUCUUAGCAAGAGAAAAGGUCUGGAACACAUCGAGGGGGGUGGAAUUAAAGCCUAUUGAAUCUUGAGUCAUAUGUGAGGAAACCCAACCUGGGGUCUAGAGAUCCUAUAACCAGGUUCAAUGGAAAAAACGAAUCACAUGUUGACUUGUUGUGAAAAAUGCACUAUUUUUUAUCCCUCCCUAUAGUGUGAGUGCAUUUAUCUAUAAUGAUUGUGGGGUUGAGUUUAAAAUUUUUUUUAAUGAUAAUCUAUAGCUCGUAUGGUGGGGUUCUAAAAUUACAGAAGCACUCUCGACGGAUUUCACAUAUGUGAGUGUGGAGGGAGGCUGCUGCCUAUUAGAAUUAGGCUCAUUCAUAAAAGACACUCAUUAAAAUUGGGGUAGUACAAGGCUGUAACAUGCUGCUAUAAAGCUCAUGUCAACACCUUGACUAUUAUGUGCAAGAAUUACUUCUUUACUAAGUGGAAGUUCAAUGCAGAGCACACCUUCAUUAUGCAUGGUAGUCUUUCUUCAGCUAGUAGACUCUCUUAUUAAUAUUAAAAUGAGUGGAGAAUUGAUGUAGUUUUAAGCAUUCUAAUAUUAUUAUUAUUAUUAUUUAAUAUUAUUAUAAUGCAUGAUUCUUGAAAGUUAUGCAGCAUAAUAGUGCAUUAUUGUUGUUGUUACUUUGCAUGAUUGUUGCCUUUAUUUUUAAUGUCAUUAUUUGGCAUAAUUCUCACGUUUAUGGUUACAUUUUCAGCUUCCAAAAAAACACCUAUUUUAUUUGUAUUAUGAGCCAUUAAUCAUAAUAAUUAGUGGUGGUAGGAUGUGGAUAUACGUUUCAUUUAAUUUUUGCUUUUUCUUUCUCCAUUAUCCUAUUCUUUAUGUGGUGUAACUCAUGUAACUCUUGUAACCAUUGUAACCUCUAUUCUAUUUAUCUUCCCAUUUAUACUUAUUAUUCAUUGCAUGAAAUAUUUAUUCACCUAUAAAUAGAGGUGUUUUUGUAUGUUUUUGAUAUACACAAGAUAAUAUAGAGUUUACAAAAGAUAGGAAAAAAUAGAGUUCAUUAGUUGAAGGGAGGUGUUUUUUUUGUGGAGCUUUUAACUCAACUCUUGUCCAGAGUUGUUGAGUUGUUCUUUGUGAAAAGACUGUUGUAUCCUGGAGGGGACAAGUCAAGAAUAUUACUAUAGGACUGGUGAAACAAUUUGUUGCAGUUGAUACCAAACGAUAUCUAAAAGAGCACGAAAACAGUCCGCAAGAUAGGAAAAAAUAGAGUUCAUUAGUUGAAGGGAGGUGUUUUUUUUGUGGAGCUUUUAACUCAACUCUUGUCCAGAGUUGUUGAGUUGUUCUUUGUGAAAAGACUGUUGUAUCCUGGAGGGGACAAGUCAAGAAUAUUACUAUAGGACUGGUGAAAUAAUUUGUUGCAGUUGAUACCAAACGAUAUCUAAAAGAGCACGAAAAUAGUCCGCAAAUACACAAACAGUCCACACACACAAGACACUAAACGAAAACAACAAACUCAAACUUAAACGAUAAAAAGAUAUGUAACUUAACACAAUGAGAACUCAUAAUGCAGCAACUAAAGAGUGUAUAAAUACUCUAAAACCUCCACAAAAGAAGUUAACAAGCAAUACGUUCUUACGGAACACAAGAGGAACUCAGUUCACUCAAGCACUCUCGUUUCUAGCCGAUACAUACAACACAAGAAGAAACCAUUUCUGGUGAUGUCAAAGUGAUGGUCUACUCUCUUCUUGAGUGAAAAUUGAUGUUCAAUAUUACAAGUGAUUUCAAGAAUGAGCUAACUAAGAAAAUAAGACUAAGGGUUCCUACUUAUAGUCUAUUGCAAAAGAGAUGGGAAAUGACACAUUUACCCUUAAUGAAGGGGGUGGAUUUGGAGUGUAUAAAUGGGGCUGACUUGUAGUGUUUUUAAGACACUUAAGGAAUGUCUUCACACUUUAAUACAUACACUUCCUUGGAUGAACUUAAGACAUGCUCAACUACGUCUAUUUUCAUAAACGCGCCUUGUAGUCUUUGUAGUUCCCGAGCUUGGACAAGGCUUUGAAAAAGGCUUCAAAGAUCUUUAAUUUCUUUACAAAUCCUAAACGUGGACUUUAACAAAAACUUGUAAUCCUUGUGCUCUUCAUGCUUGUAUCAUCCUCUCCACCUUGAAAGGAAUUUAUCCUCAAAUUUGCACCUUACAAAACCAAAGAGAGGGAAAACAUACACAUAAUCCUCAUGAUAUGAGGGUUAGUAUUAGUACCACAAAUUAUAUAGACAUGCCAAGGGGGUACACUUUUGGAAUACAACCAACAAUCCUUUGUUAUGAUCAUGAAACACGUACCACAAGCAUCACAAAGGACAUGACUAAGAUAAACAUCAAGGAAAGAGGAUUGCAAUCCAAAACUAUCAUAUAUGUCAUCAAGCCAAGGUUGUUCACAUUUGGAAUAUACCCAUGGGUCCUUUGUGUGUGACAUGAAAAGCUUAGUAUGAAUGGCUCAAAGGAAGUGUCUUUGGAAAAUAUCAAGAGAUAAGAACACUACAAUGGUCUUCUCCAAUGACUAGUAACUAUCGAACAUUCAUAUCAAUAGCCAAUUUGAGACCGAGAAUGAAAGAUUUAUAUUCAGCCAUAUUAUUGAUGCAUGGAAAGCAUAGUUUGGCAAUAACUGAGUAAUGUUGACCAGUUUCUAAUAUCAAGACUGCUUCAAUUCCUGAACCCUUGAAAUUAACUGUCUAUCAAAGAAUAAUCUCCAACUUGGGUAUACUUUAUUAAUAUCUUAUCCUACAAACAAUAACUCUUCAUCUGGGAAAUAAGUUUGGAGUGGCUCAUAUUCUUCAUCAACUGGAUUUUCUAUUAGAUAAUCUGCUAGGGCUUGCCCUUUGAUUGUUUUUUGAGUUACAUACAAUGUCGAACUCACUCAACAAUAUUUACCAUUUGGAAAAUUUCCCUGUGGGAAUGGCCUUUUGGAAUAUGUACUUCAAAGGAUCCAUUCUAGAAAUGGGAUACGUUAGAUACGACGUUAGGAAGUGCCUCAGCUUCUAGGCCACCCAGGUUAAUACACAACACGUCCUUUACAAUAAAAUGUAAUGAGCCUUAUAUGGAGUGAACUUCUUACUCAAGUAAUAAAUUAAUCUUUUCUUCUUUUUGGUUUUAUCAUGUUGCCCUAAGAAAUAUCCAAAUGCAUUGUCUGAAACCAAUAAAUAGAACAACAGAAGACUUCUUUCUUUUGGUCGAACUAGUAUCGGUGGACUAGAUAAAUAAUCCUUGAUUGUGUCAAAAGUUGUUUUUCAUUCUUUGGUCCAUUUGUUUGGUGCAUCUUUAUUUAACAUCUUGAGGAUAGGUUCACAAAUAAUAGUUGACUGAGCUAUGAACCUGCUGAUGUAAUUCAACCUUUCUAGGAAACUCAUGACUUCCUUCUUUUUCUUCAAAGAAGGAAUUUCUUGGAUCUCCUUAAUUUUUAAGGGGUCAAGAUCAAUGCCUCUUUUACUAAUAAUGAAAAACCAAUAAUUUCCUAGCUGGUACCCCAAAAGCACACUUGGCAGAAUUCAACUUCAAAUUGUACUUCUACAAUUGAUCAAAGAACCCUCUCAAGUAGGAUAAGUGGUCUGAACUCUUGUGGGACCUGAUGAUCAUAUCGUCCACAUACACUUCAAUCUCUUUAUGGAUCAUAUCAUGAAAUAUGGUUAUCAUUGCUCUUAUAUACGUAGCACUGACAUUCUUGAGACCAAAGGGCAUCACCAUAUAGUGAUAAACACCCUAAGGCAUGAUGAAAGUUAUUUUCUGUGCAUCUUAUUCAUCCAUUAGUAUUUGAUGAUACCCGAUAAAAUAUCCACGAAUGACUGCAUUUCAUGCCUUGCACAUUUGUUGAUGAGAAUGUGGAUAUUGGGUAAUAGAAAGUUAUCUUUAGGUCGGGCUUUGUUUAAAUCUCUAUAAUUGACACAAAUCCUGAUCUUUCUAUCCUUCUAUGGUACUGGAACAAUAUUGGCUAGCCAUGUUGGAUACUUUGUAACUUCAACUACAUUGGCUUGGAUUUGCUUAGUGACUUCUUCCUUGAUUCUCAAAUUCACAUUUGGCUUGAAUUUUUGAGACUUUUGCUUCACAGGAUUGAACCCUGGAUCAAUUGGUAACUUAUGUGAUACUAAAUCUGUACUCAAUCCUGGCAUAUCGUCAUAGGACCAAGGAAAUACAUCAAAGUACUCUUUAGGUAACCUGAUAAGUUUUGUAUUCUGAUCAUCUGUUAGAUGCACACUUAUUCUAGUUUCUUUGACUUCACCCUCAUCACCAAGAUUAAUUACCUUAGUCUCCUAGGUUGGGCCUUUCUUGAUCCUCAAAAUUCUUUAGUUCCUCUGUUAACUGGUAUGGGGCCAUUGUUUCUUCUUCAUACUCUUCUCAUUCAUCAUUUUUGCUUUAAUGUGUUCAUUUAGCUCUUGACAUGUCAUGACAUUGGCAGGUUUUAAAUUAUUAUUACUCAAAACAUAAACAACACAAGUUAGAUUAUAGUGAUCGAAUAAUGCAACAAAAAAUAGAAGACAAAUAUUUUCACAAUACGAGAGGCUUUCAUUGAAUUUUUAAAAAUUACAAAUGUUGGCUAUGAUCCGCACUAGUGUAGGUCUGAGUUUUUUGGAAAGCAUAAAACAUGAAAAUAAGGUAAAUAAACUUAAAGGGUGGGUCUCGGGACUCAUUCGAACUACCAUCUAUUUUGCAAACAUAAAAUUUCAUCCUUUCAUCUGCCAUAUCAAUCGAGGAGUCAUGUUUAGAGUGGAAGUCCAAUUUGAUAGCUUAUCCCCUAGUUCAUCUGUCUUAUUCUCGGUCCUUUUGGGAAAAUCUUCUAUAAUAGCAUCACGCUCUUAGAACAAGUUCCCUAUUCCAUACUCGAGACCAUCGCUUAUAGGCUUUACAUAUAUAGGGAAUGACUGGUACAACAGAGGUAACAUCUUCACCAAUUCUGGACCUUUCUUCUUCGUAUCCCUUUCAGAUCUUUAUUUGGCAUAUAACCUAACCCAUAUUUGGACAACUUUUCUAGAAUCACAAUAGGCUCAAUGAUUCCAUCCAAAUUCUUCCGUAAGUCGCAUCCAGGAUCGAACUGCUUCUCAGCAUAACAUUGCCAACAUCUUAUAGAUCAAAGGCAUUGGCUUAUACGGAGUUGGGUCUUUCUCAUCCGUAUUCAUGAUCACCACCGUAUAAAAAUUACUUUCUCUUGGGACUUUUUAAUCACAGAAACAUAACCAUUAGGGUGACUCAAAUGACUCCCUUUUUCAUGGAUGACCACUUUAUUAUUUUCCUAUACAAAUUUCACUAAUUGGUGUAACGUUGAAGAAACAACCCCCGCUGCAUGAAUCCAAAGCCUUCCUAAGAGAAGAUUGUAACUUAAGGCAAUGUCCAGCACUUGAAAUGCUACUAGGAAUUUUACAGGCCUUAUUUGAAGAUGCAACUUAAUUUCCAUGAUGGUGUUUCUCUGACCCCAUCAAAAGCUCUUAUAUUUACUGAGUUCUAAUAAAUUUUUCCUAUAUCAUGGUUCAACAGAGUCAAAAUAGAUAAUGGGCAGAUAUUCAGACCUGAUCCAUUAUCAAUUAAUAUCCUAUUGAUGAUCUUGUCUUGACAUUUGAUAAUGAUAUGCAGUGUCUUAUUAUUCAUUACUCCUUCGAAGGGAAACUCAUCUCUACCAAAGCUAAUGCGAUGGUCUUCCACUACUUUACUUAUCAUGGCCACUAAAUUUUUGAUACUUGUGCCUACGGGUGCGUAUGCUUCUUCAAGGACUUUCAACAAAACUUUUCUAUGAUAUUGAGAACUCAUAAGCAAUACCUAAAUAGAAAUUUGAGUGGGAGUCUUCUCUAAAUAUUUAAUAAUAGAGUACUCUUUCGGUUGUAUUCUUCUAAAAAAUUCUUCAGUUUCUCCUCCAGUGAAUGGAUUUUUUUAGCACUCUUCUUGUAUUCAUCAUUAGCAAUUUCUUUUGGAGUAUAGCAUCUUCAUGAUCUAGUCAUUCCUUUUGCAGUUCCAGCUUUCACUAUAAAUUGUUCUCUUACAAGCAUCAAGGCAAAGGCUUGAUAAGGUGCAAACUUCUUAGUAACACUCAAGGCAGCCACUGCCUUUUGUGUUACUUUUACUUUUUCCAUUUCUUCAGGGAUAGCCUACACUAUAGAUUUUCUCACCACCAACUCAUCAUCUAUUUCUAUCAUACUGAUGGUUGCCCCUUCAUGGUUUGGGAGCGGGUUGGUAGUAAUAUUUGGUGGUGUUGUUUGAAGCGAAAUCACAUGUGAUCAAUCAAAUUUCAAAUCUUGAGCUUCAUAUUAAUACAGUCCUCAGUUGUGUAUCCAGUACCCCCUGAAUGAUAUGCAUAAUGUUGAUCGACGUGGAGAAAUUAGGAAUUGGUAUUGGCGGGUUUUGGUGGGAUAGGUUGGAUAAGAUCUACUGCCUUUAACCUUUUGAAUAAUUGAGUUCUAGUUUCAGCCAAAGCACUGAAACUCCUAGUGACUUUCUAUUCCUGAUGCAGACGAGGAAGAUUAUAGUCAUUUUGGUUGGUGGGAGGAGGGACUUGAUGGUAAUUUUGUUUAAUUAGGGAUUUUUGGUAGGCUUGAAAAUUUGAGAGUGGAGCUUGGUAAGGGGGCUGAUGAUUUGGCAAUGAGGAUGGAUAAUUCUGUUAAUUGGAAAAGAAUUUUGGUUGUGGAACUUAGGGACUAGGCUGGGUAUAAAACAUGGGUUGAGGAUUUUGUAGAGUUAGAGGGUAUACAGACGGUAAGGAUAAUUUCCCAAAAUCAAACCCAAGAGAUUUCCUUGACUUUUGGUUUGGACUAGAGGAUACGAAGAACACAUUAUUUCUCUUUUUCUUUGGGAAUUCUUAAGAUCCAAGGUGUUCAAAGGCUUUGUUGAUCUUCCCUGUCCUUAUUCCUUCCUCCUCUAUUUUACCUAUCUCAACCAAAUUAGGGAAGGUAGCACGAAUCACUGAUAUCAUCUUAUCAUAAAACUCUUCUUCCUAAGAUCGGUAAGUACAACUACUAUUUUUUCUUUCUGUCAUAGGAGGUCGUACCUUUGCUUCAUCUUUCCUCCAAUGAUAGGCAUAUUCACAAAAGAAUUCAUUAGACUUUCGAUUGAUGCAAUUCAAAGAAUAUCAGUUAGGAACCAUCUCGACGUUGUAGGAAAAUCUAUCGACAAAAUCCUAGCCAAAACACUCUAUUCAGGCAACUUUUUUAGUUUUUGUGAAGCAAACCAUUCUAAUGCCUCUCCACUUAGGCUUCGACUGAAGAGCCUUAUCAAUAAUUCUUAAUUUCUACCAGCGCCUAAUGUUUGGUCACAAUAUCCUCUUAAGUGGGCAGUAGGAUUUCCAGUACUAUUGAAUGUUUCAAACUUAGGAGUUUUAAAUCCCUCGGGCAAAUUCAAAUCGGGGUAGAUGCAAAGGUCAUCAUAACCAAACCUUGUUGCAUUGGGCAAACUAUAUGUUUUCUUCAUCUUGGCGAUCUCUUCUUUUAUCAAUAGUAGCUCCCUAGCAUGGUUGUCUUCAGGAACCUUAGACUCCUUUUCCAUCUCCUCAUAGUAGUCGAUUUCUGGGUUUUGGGGGAAUGCAUGGUAAGAUGUAGAUAUUAUGGUGGCUUGGAGGGUAGUGGGAAGGAUAUUUUAGGUUAGCAAAGGGUUUUGGGCAAUAUGAGUGGAGUUUUGAUAGGUGGGAAUUAAGUUUUGAGGAAUAUUGACAUUGGUAUUAAAAGUGGGAUGAGUUUUUUUGGGAAACAAAGGCAUUUGGAGAGGUAUUUUGAUAAUUUGGAGUGUAGCUUUACGGAUGGUAAGCAUUUGGAUUAUUGUCGUGGUCGGUGUUAUGAGUUUGGCGUGAUGGAUUGAUGGGAUUAAUAGGAGGUCUAGGCAUAGAAGCGGAGGGUACGUCAUUUGGUUGGUUGUCAUUGUUAGGAGAUCUAAAAUGAGGGAAUCAAAGUGGAAGCACAUGGUUAUCUAAAGCUGGCGUAUUAGGAGAAAUGGCCAAAUUAGCCAUAUCUUUUUAUCGUUGUACUUCUUCUUAAAGUUCCUCUAUUCUCCAAGUUAAUUCGGUGAUCGUCUCACCUUAUGUUGUUAUCACACCGUCCCUAACAGUAAUUUUGGUGAGAGUGUUUUCCUUGCUACUACUAGUCAUUCUUUUCUCUUCACUAGUGAAACGACGGUCAAGGGAGGAAUUUUUAUUUGCCUUAAAUCUUAUGAAGUAUUGAUGCUCCGCUGGUUUUUAUCACAGACCAAUUUCUCUUUAUCAUCUGAUAAAGAAAAACAACUCAAAGGGUAACUAUGUUAGCUUCUGUUCAUAAUAAGAAAUACAAGAUAUUUGACGAAAGGUAAACACUUAAAAGCUGCUCAUAUUAAAGGUAAAUUGAUCCACAGAUUAAGUAUUGAUAUGGAUAGAAGUUUGUGUAUUCACUUUUGGUAAAUAAUUUUGACAGGAAGGUUGACUUUUUCAAACAUAGAUUCUUCUGCUCUUGGACUUGUUGAAUUCUGAAAUCUUCACCAUAAAUGGAAAAAUAAUAUAUUUAAAAGAUAAGGGCUGAGUCUUAUGUAGGUUGCCUACGUAUCUAGCCAGGGAAUUCAGGCCCAACAUAGUUCAAGUUACAUACAGAUAAUCUCAAAGUAGUUUGAAUUACAUCAUAGUUCAAAUUAAAUAAAGGCAAAGUCCAACGUAGUUUGAAUCUAAUUAUACCUUCUCUAAAGUAGAUAAAGAGACUAGGCUCAAAAAAAUCUUCCUACGUACCCCCAUGGGAUCAAGUCUCACAUAGUUCUUGAUUACAAAGACAUCCUAAGGUGAAGUAUAAACCUAAGUUCUACCAGAGUUGCUCUUUGUUAGUUUCAAUAAUCGAGUGACAAUCCUACGCUCUCGUCACCCGGACCUUUAUCUGCUUUGGUUGUUUUCUUUAUGGAGAAAUUGUUUUUCAACGUUAGGUUUGAAACAUUAUUAAUAGACCCUCUUGCGUGAUGCUCAAAUUUUAAGGCCCUUGUAGAUACCCUAGAGACGUCAAGGAUUCCCUGAUCGAUAUUAGCAAUAUGCCUUUUCACCAAAGUUGUUUCUACAUUAAUCGUUAUGACCUCUCCGUGUAAUCUUUUUUCUCCCUCUUUCCAAUUCUGCAAAUUUCUUCCUUGCUGCAGCUAUUUUUUUUGGUUUUAGCAAUUUUCUUAACAACAAAUCUUUGGUCUCCUCAUCACUCACCAAGUGGAUAAUUGGAAUUGGUGAAGUGAUACUUCGUUCUGACAUCUUCAAAAGUCAACCUUCCUAUUUAAUAGAAGUACAAUUUAGAGGUUUUCCAAAAAGUUUUAGAAUUUCUAACAAGUCUAAAAGACAUGGAUUUUUUUUUUUGGUUGGACUUUCAGUUGGUGAGUUUAUAUUUCUUCCUAAAGAUUCUAGAAAAGAAAGGACUGGAUCCAUUUAUCUUUAAUCAGAGCAUCACAUAGAAUAUAAAAUAAUUAUAACACAUAAUAGUAUAAUGAUCGCACUUAAAUAUUCGCAUCCUAAAUUGGGUAAUCCUUUUAUGCCAGGGGUGAGCCUAAACGUCAGAUAUUCGUGAUUAGGAUAGAUUGAUUCGAGCCAUUGACAAGGAUUUUUCUAACAUAUAAUGUCACAUAAAAUAUGAUCGUUGAUCGUUGGGUCGCGAAUAUCCAUCGACACAUAGGUGGAUAUCCUAAAUGUAGAGUCGCUAACAAGAAUCGACUCGACUAAGGUAUAUGCAUGCAUACUUAAAUUGAAAGUGUGGCAUACCUCUAUCUUAAGUUUUUCUAAGAUGUGGAUAGACACGGACUUGAAUUUCCUAUAUGAGAAGGCACGUGGUCCCCCGACAGUAAAACACCCACUCAGCCCACGUAUGUGUCGAAUCUCUAAAGAAGGUAUUUUGAAAGAAUUUUGAGAAAGUACAAUGUACAAUCCACGUGUACAAUGUGUGUGAGUGUUAGUUUUCCAGAGUGGAGGAGAUAUGAGCGGAAUGACAGUGAAUAUGAAAUUUAAAUAAAUAUCCACGAAAGAAUUAGCCACAAAAAGUUAUAAAAUUCCUUUCGGUUAGAACCUAGAUAAACCCAAGCAGAGUCAUCAUUUCUAUUACGACGCAUUUUAAACUCUAUAAAAGCAUCAUAACGUUGGCAAAUUAUUUUGAAAAAUAAAGUAGAAGGAAAAAGAGUCACCACUUAAUUUUAAAAAAUAUUAAGAAAAUAGUGUAAAAAGGAUAUUUAAGAAAUCCUAGGAUAAGGGUUCAAGUAAUUUUUCAGAGAAGGGGUUAGGCAUUUCAAAACAUUUGCAACUGCGGUUCAUCGAUGGGUUUAAUAUUUUUGGUGGCCAAAGAAAAUUUAUAAAGCAUUUUUUAGUUAAAUUCCUAACAAUUCUAUCAAAUUUUGCCAGAGUUUGUUUUAUCAAUCUUAUAUUAAGAGAAGGAAAUUUGAUUCAACAUUUAAAGUGAAUGUUUGACUAAAACACGAUAAGAAUUAGUUUGAAAUAUUAUCCAAGUUAAAAUAUCUUUUUUAGGAGAAGCCAAAAAGGAUUUAAUGAAUUUAUUAGAAUAGUUUAAAUCUGUAACCUAUGCGACUUAACCAAGAAGAGUAAUAAUAAAUAAAUUGACCAAAAUGAAAAUAACCUCUUUUGGAGACUCAUCUAAAUUAACAAAAGUUCUGGUCAAAGCAAAUGUUAGUGACACAAAUUAUAUAAAAACUAAGAAUAAACAACGAUCUUAGGCCUUCGCCCAAAAUCUAGUAUUUGUCAUUUUUACCACUUCCUUUUCUGAUCUUCUGAUGCGGAAUAGGUCUUAAAAAAUAAUGGGUAUGAAUAUUUAGAACUCAUUUCUCUUUUUUCGUUGAUCAAGUGAAAUUAGUUAGGCUAACUCAGUGAAAAUUCUAUAUGUUGGGCUUCCGCAGCCCAUUGAGAUGGUGCAAAUGGAGUCCGAGCAGACUCGUACUGAUUUCACAUGCGUCAAAAAAAGAAAGGAAUUAGUGAUAUGCAGACAAUAAUUGAGACGAUAUCUCGUAAUGGAAUCAACUCUUAAUCAAAAUCAAUGGAACUGCAUAUUCAAUGCUAGAACACUCCUAUGACUGUAUUUAGUCUAAUAAAAGAAAUGAAUAUCGAGAAGGGUUACUGACCUUUUUUGCAGUAGAGGACCAAGAAGACAAGUCCAAAGAUCGAUUCCACCACAUACGUCAACUUCCGAGUUGUUCGAACGAUGAAAAAACAAUGAGAGCAGCGUGGGUAAACCAAAGAAACUAGAGAAUUUAGUGAAUGGGAGAGUAAGAUAAAAACUCAAGAUAUUCCCCAACUUCUUUACCACUUAACUCUAUACCCUAAGGGGUGACCAAGACCUCUUUUAUAGGAAAAUUAUAGGUUGCCUGGCUUUUCCAAAAAGCUUCCAAAAUUUUAUUUUUUUUAAAAAAAUUAAAUUUAAUGUCCUUGAGAAGAUAAAUUACAGGUUAAAUUUAGUGCUGAAAAGAGAUAACAAAUAACCUUUUUUCAGUCGAUUUGAAUAACGAGUGACGGCUUGAAGGUGGAGAGGCUUGGACCCAUAGGUUGAAGCCCUAAAGCCAUCGAAUCGAAGAAACAAAACCCUCUCUAACUGAUGGGUACUCAAUUUUCUCCUACUUUCAGCGAUUACAAAGUCUUGAAAUUUAUUUUGUUUCAGCUAAAAAGUUGACGGGAAGUGAUGGGAUAGUGACAAAAGAGAUCA
Molecule: long non-coding RNA, 17093 nt
Filed under: Capsicum annuum
Lineage: Eukaryota; Viridiplantae; Streptophyta; Magnoliopsida; Solanales; Solanaceae
Description: long non-coding RNA (CANN_LNC019478)
Source: RNAcentral